GGGCGUGGGGGGGGGUCAUCUGGCUGAGACAUCUGUCACCCUGUUGAUCACCAGAGUUGAUCUGGCUGUCUAAAGGGGUCCCCUCCCUCCCUCACUACUCCAUGUGGGUCCCUCGCGAAGCUGUGAGGAUGACCUCCCUUGAGCAGAGAGACGAGACGGGUGGUCUUUUUGGGUGUAUGAGUAGCUGUUCUCCCACACUUGAGCUUUCAAGCAAGUUCUCAAGAAACUGUAGCACUGUUUUGCAUUCUUUCUCUUUGAAAAUGUAAAGUGUUUGUAUGAACAAUGUUU
Molecule: unclassified non-coding RNA, 288 nt
Organism: Erinaceus europaeus (western European hedgehog)
Lineage: Eukaryota; Metazoa; Chordata; Mammalia; Eulipotyphla; Erinaceidae
Gene: 7SK
Rfam family: 7SK RNA
About the family: 7SK was discovered as an abundant small nuclear RNA in the mid-70s but a possible function has only recently been suggested.
Source: Ensembl